This is a long non-coding RNA of Saccostrea cuccullata (small rock oyster), 212 nucleotides long. RefSeq lists it as uncharacterized. The record is from RefSeq and is a predicted model, not a curated record. NCBI's taxonomy places the organism in Eukaryota, Metazoa, Mollusca, Bivalvia, Ostreida, Ostreidae. The transcript is spliced from 3 exons.
CCAUGGAGGAGUGAGCAUCCCCUGCCGAAGAAGAUUAAGCCAUAUCCAGUUAUUGCCGAUCCUGGAGGGACCCCAAACCCUUGUGAUGUCCUGAAAGUACUACAAUCCUGAGGACAGAAGCCAUUAGAACCAAUAAUGUCCAAAAUAAGUGCCAAAGGAAGCAGCUUCCUGGAUGGUGUGUAGGCUGUUUGUCAACAUGUGAAACCCACGGG